This 327-nucleotide unclassified non-coding RNA is filed under the name plant metagenome. RNAcentral's name for it is "partial contains 5.8S ribosomal RNA, internal transcribed spacer 2, and large subunit ribosomal RNA". The stretch from base 1 to 105 matches the Rfam family "5.8S ribosomal RNA", at positions 50 to 154 of the family's 154-position model. The record is from RNAcentral.
GAAAUGCGAUACGUAGUGUGAAUUGCAGAAUUCAGUGAAUCAUCGAAUCUUUGAACGCACAUUGCGCCCUUUGGUAUUCCAAAGGGCAUGCCUGUUCGAGCGUCAUUUGUACCCUCAAGCUUUGCUUGGUGUUGGGCGUCUUUUUGUCUCUCCCCUUGUUGGGGGAGACUCGCCUUAAAACGAUUGGUAGCCGACCUACUGGUUUUCGGAGCGCAGCACAAAUUUGCGCCUUCCAAUCCACGGGGCGGCAUCCAGCAAGCCUUUGUUUUCUAUAACAAAUCCACAUUUUGACCUCGGAUCAGGUAGGGAUACCCGCUGAACUUAAGC